RNAcentral lists this transfer RNA (72 nucleotides) under Heterocephalus glaber (naked mole-rat). It matches the Rfam family "tRNA". From Rfam's summary of the family: Transfer RNA (tRNA) molecules are approximately 80 nucleotides in length. Their secondary structure includes four short double-helical elements and three loops (D, anti-codon, and T loops). Further hydrogen bonds mediate the characteristic L-shaped molecular structure. tRNAs have two regions of fundamental functional importance: the anti-codon, which is responsible for specific mRNA codon recognition, and the 3' end, to which the tRNAs corresponding amino acid is attached (by aminoacyl-tRNA synthetases). tRNAs cope with the degeneracy of the genetic code in two manners: having more than one tRNA (with a specific anti-codon) for a particular amino acid; and 'wobble' base-pairing, i.e. permitting non-standard base-pairing at the 3rd anti-codon position. The record is from Rfam by way of RNAcentral. Lineage: Eukaryota; Metazoa; Chordata; Mammalia; Rodentia; Bathyergidae.
GGAAGUAUAGUUUAAUGGUACAGCUCUUGCCUCGCGUGCAAGAGGCUCUGGGCUCCAUCCCCAGCACCACCA